Long non-coding RNA from Pollicipes pollicipes, 357 nucleotides. RefSeq lists it as uncharacterized. NCBI's taxonomy places the organism in Eukaryota, Metazoa, Arthropoda, Thecostraca, Pollicipedomorpha, Pollicipedidae. The record is from RefSeq and is a predicted model, not a curated record. The transcript has 3 exons.
UACAUAACGAUGCUACUGCCUUGACUGAUGCCUUGAUUAGAUUGAAAAGUGAGAUGAUAGUGUUAAAAGUGCGUUUUAUAGGUAGACGUUCACGGUAACAGCCCUUGUUUCUAGAUCUGCAAGGCAAAUAAUCCCACCACCUACAAGUUUCAACAAUGGGAAGCAAUGUAUCUAAGAAGAGGCGAAGAUCUUCUAUGUCAGAUGCUGAAGCACGCUCAAGGCUGCAGAGAAAAAUUUGUCUUGCAGAGGAAACACCAGAGCCUGUCUAUGACCUUUCAAACUGCUUGUUGCGCACCAUACCUCCAGGAACAUACGCCAAGUGCAAAGUGCUCCGCAAGCUGCAGCUUCUUUUGCAGG